Molecule: non-coding RNA, 184 nt
Filed under: Chlamydiota bacterium
Lineage: Bacteria; Pseudomonadati; Chlamydiota
Description: Chlamydiae bacterium 6S RNA
Rfam family: 6S / SsrS RNA
About the family: E. coli 6S RNA was the first non coding RNA to be sequenced, but its function was unknown until recently. It consists of 184 nucleotides that fold into an extended hairpin structure with a large single-stranded internal bulge.
Source: RNAcentral
AUCACCCUGCGGUGUUCGUUAUGUUAAGACUUAUCUUGAACCAACAUUUUGACGUAAGGGAGCUCAGUGCACAGAUGGAGAGUCAUGCCCGUAUUAAUACCCGGGACGGCGCACAAGUUUGUCACGGCACCCACUUUUCAUUACGGUCCAACAGCGUCUUGCAGACGGCAUUCGCGGGGGAACU